Molecule: ribosomal RNA, 440 nt
Filed under: uncultured Pseudomonas sp.
Lineage: Bacteria; Pseudomonadati; Pseudomonadota; Gammaproteobacteria; Pseudomonadales; Pseudomonadaceae
Description: bacterial SSU rRNA
Rfam family: Bacterial small subunit ribosomal RNA
Source: RNAcentral
GGAAUAUUGGACAAUGGGCGAAAGCCUGAUCCAGCCAUGCCGCGUGUGUGAAGAAGGUCUUCGGAUUGUAAAGCACUUUAAGUUGGGAGGAAGGGCAGUAACCUAAUACGUUGCUGUCUUGACGUUACCGACAGAAUAAGCACCGGCUAACUCUGUGCCAGCAGCCGCGGUAAUACAGAGGGUGCAAGCGUUAAUCGGAAUUACUGGGCGUAAAGCGCGCGUAGGUGGUUUGUUAAGUUGGAUGUGAAAUCCCCGGGCUCAACCUGGGAACUGCAUUCAAAACUGACAAGCUAGAGUAUGGUAGAGGGUGGUGGAAUUUCCUGUGUAGCGGUGAAAUGCGUAGAUAUAGGAAGGAACACCAGUGGCGAAGGCGACCACCUGGACUGAUACUGACACUGAGGUGCGAAAGCGUGGGGAGCAAACAGGAUUAGAUACCCCAG